RNAcentral lists this long non-coding RNA (4383 nucleotides) under Citrus maxima (pomelo). RNAcentral describes it as "long non-coding RNA (CMAX_LNC002494)". Lineage: Eukaryota; Viridiplantae; Streptophyta; Magnoliopsida; Sapindales; Rutaceae. The record is from RNAcentral.
CACUUUUCUAGCUCGCCACCACCGCACUUAUGAAGCCAACCAUCACCGUCUUCACGAUUCAAGCAGUCAGUAGCCAGCCACCAUCAUCACUUACUCAUAAUUCAAGUAUCCACCACCAUUAACCACUACUCGUCUCCUGCCAUCAUUUGUCGUUAUUGUCACGCCAGUGGAGGUGAGUAUUACUGAGUUGUGUUCAAUUUGUUUUAUUAUUUACUAUUGUUUGAUAUUUUUUCCCUUAAUCAUGUCUUUUUAUUUGUGAUUACAAGAUUAAGAUAAGUUUAUUGAAACUUUGAUUUUUGAAACUGGUUUUGGGAAUUCUUUUUCACAGGAAUAAUUCAAUUCGAUUUUAUAAAUCAAUAUCGAACUAAAUAAAUAAAAUAGGUGAAUGGUAUCAUUCUUUGUUCUAUAGGUAUUUGUUAAUCUAUUUAAUUAUUUAGUUAAAAUUAACAUAAUAGGCAUCAAUUAUUAAACAUAAUAGGCAUCAAUUAUUACAUCGCCAUCAAUCCAUUCUCCUGGCAUAAAAACGUGUUGCUUUGAGUUGUACUACUGUGUCCUUUAUCCACCAUGACUUCCUUUUUACCAUGAAAGACAAUGUCAUUUCAACAAAUAUUACCAAAAUAAGGAUAUUUAUACAUAAUUUACAAAUACACUAGUUGUAAAAACAUUUCAUAUAUAUCAGAUCAUAUAUUUCAUUUAAUUUGUCAUAAAAAAGGUAAAGAAUAAGUCGUUUUGCAACCUUGAAAAGUGGGGUGGGAAUAAUGAACAGCCAGCAAAGAAUCACAGUUUAGCAAAUUUACAAAUGACAUUCUUUUCUAGAGAAUGUCGAAUAUCCCCAGCCUAUGAAUAACACAAAAUACAUUUUACAUUAGUAUAGUAAUGUCACCAAGUGCAAUAAAACGGUAAAUACAUAAAGCAAUUGUAACAAAUACACGUCACUACCUUAUAUUCCUUAGGAAUCACUUUUGAUGUUUCUUGGUCCAUUUCCAAUUAUUUUGAUUGAAAUGUAUCAUUGCUUUCACCAUCCAAAGACCCUUCUAAUCUAUAUAACAAAUCAUGUAACCGCCUUUCCUUUGAGUUUUAGAUGGAAUCAUCAUAAGGACUAGCUCGACGACAUGAAAUUGAACCUUCAGUCGAUGUGAUUUACACAACUAAAGUGCCACCAUUUUUUUCUUGCAAACAAACAAAAUCGGGGAAUGGAUUUUGAAUGUCACAUGUGCUGAGAUGAUUGACAGGAGAUGAAGAUGGCCAUUGGUUUUCCUUAUAUGUAAUACUUCAUUUAGAAGUGUAGUUUGAUCAGCCAUGCCUCAUCAACCUUAAGGGUCAAUAUCCUAGAUGCAAAAUAUUACUUCUUAAUUAUUUCUUCACUAUUAGUAUACCCAACACUGUUUUGCUGAAAGAGUCCGCUAGUGUCAACAUAAUGCAUCUUGACCUAUUUAAUCACAAAAUGAAUUACAUCAAAUAACUAGGAAAAUGUCAAUAUGUCAAAUUAGGAAAAAAUUAUAAUGAAGUAUGAAUUUUUACAGUAUUGAUACUGUUUUUUCCUUUUUUUUUUUUAAUUGUCCAUUGGAUUUAAGGGUCAAUAUCUCUAUCCUUCAUUUUAAUGAAUGAGAACUAGUUAUAUGGGUAAUAAGUAACCACCUUAUCUUUUUAAUAAUUAAAAACAAAUUAUUCCUUUAAUUAUUUGUAGAAAUUUAUUUUAGAUCAUUGUAAAAAAAAAAAAUACUACCAGGUGAAGAUAAUUCGUAUAAAUUGAAAUAUAAAAUUGUUUAACUUAAAAGUUUUUUUUUUCAAAUUUUUUUUUAUAACAAACUCAAAAAUGUAUUAAUGAAGAAGAUGAAAAACAUAAACUGAACCAGCUGUCCACUUAGAAAACAAAGACUAGCACUAGUUGUGGCAACAAAGGUGUACCCAAUCACUACUAAAGUGUUUUUUUUUUUUUUAAUUUUUACUUGUAUUUUUUUUAAACAUCAACUAUAUGAAUAUAUAAUAGAUUUUAGUUUUAGAUAUUGUAAUUUAAAAACUAAAUGCGAAAUUAAACAUGAGUGAUAUAUCAAGAAAUUUAUGAUAAUCUAUUAGCUUAUUUGAAAUAAAAUUAUGAAUGAAUUGACAUAGAGAAUGAAUUCAUGUAUGUAAUCUCUAAUGCAAAUAAUAUUCUAUUUUAAAAAAUAUUAAGCGCCCUACAAGAAAAGAUUACCUUAUCACUUCUAAUCCCUCCUAUAAAUCUAAGCCACUUCAUGAACUUUCUGAUCUUCGAUUCAUUCCAGAAUGCGAUAGGAAGCAUAUUCGUAUCAGGUUGAAUGUUGUCAUAUACAACAUUUUGGAGAUAAAAGAUCUGCAUGAACAAGUUAUAAUUAAGAAAAUAGUAUUAUUGAUACUAUUCAUGGUAAGAAUAUACUCAGCUUUAGUUACAGAAACCACGUCACCUGUAAGAAGUGCACACAACCUCUAAUGUAUGCUGCCUGUUGAUUCUUAAAUCUACAAAUAGACUUCACCAUCCAAUUAUAGCAGAACGUAGCUGAAUUAAGUGAUUUGAUUGUGCUGAUAUCCAUAAUGGGAUGCAAGAACAUUGGUGAAAUAUAACAUUCGACAUAAUAAUGUUGCUAGAGCAAAUAAGGUAAAUACAACCUACGACAACUUUUUGUAAGAAUAUCAACAUCGUGAACAGUUGCAAGCAUUAAUAGGCUUGAUAAAUAGCCUAAGUGUGGGCAUGUUUCAAAAUAACUUUAAAUGUUUCAUACAAUUGCAAUUACAAAUACUAUAGAUAAAAUGAGGGCUACAGACAAAGAUUUAUGAUUAAAAAGACAAUCAAUGUAAGAAAUUACAUUCACUAUAAUUGAGCUAUUCACAAACCUUGAAAAUCUUGUUGGCUUCAUCUAAUCGCUCUAUCAGUUCCUUAAGUGUGCGGAUGUGAAUCCCUUUAACUAAUGGCAAGAAAAUAGGUCGCAGUUCAACAAUAUUUUCACUUGCACUAUUAGUCUGAAUAGGCAUGCCUCCAUCUCUUACACUCAUGAUUUUCGAAAAUAUUUUGGGAGAAAGCUUCACUUUCUAACCAUGAAGUUCAAUUAUGCUCUGUUUAAGUUUAAGUUGAUUAAUUAACCAAUGCCAUAACUUCCUCUUUAGCUGAAUACAUUUGAGUUCAAGCAGGCUUUCAAAUCCUAUUUCUCUUGUUGCUUUUUUCUUCUCUUUCGAAAGAUUCUUAACCAGUGAACAAAACCACUCAGGUACGCACUUAGUUUCCACUAUUUUAUUGUUACCAGAAUGUAAGUUUGAGUAACCCAUGCUUUCAUCUCUCCUUUUGUACCUUGAAGUUCAGGUGGAAGUUCUUUGUAGGUUUUUCCAAUAUGUUUUCUUAACUGUCAAAAAAGUAAUGAAUAUGUAUUAAAACAUUAAAAACCCACAAAUAAUAUUUGUACAUGCUACAAUGAAUCAAAAUACUAACCCCAAUAGUGACGGACAAAUCUGAGUUUUGACUUCUCAAACGCUUAACUUCUUUAUUGCUACAAGAGCAUAACAUCUAAUUAGUGUUAUAUAAUUUAUCCAUGUUUCUUUCCCGAGAGGUAAGUCGCAAUGACUGCUCACAAGUAAGAGACAAAUCUGUAAGUUGAAGAUGUUGGAACUGCAUCCUAACCAUCUACUUUUACAAUAAGAGCAUUUUUUUCUAUAAGCCCACUGAUAGUCGUUUACGCUUCCGUUGGUGAUUGUCCAUUUCUAUCCUUCCAAAAGAAAAUUUUCAAAUAAUUAAAUAAAGGACAAUUAUUCCAUCAGUAUCUAUUAAAUUUCAAAAAAAUGAGUUUGCCUUACCUACUAUUCAAAGUCACUAGAAGCAGGUCAAGGAUCCUGCUAACAUCAACCAAAAUAUUGUAAUGCAUCAAAAGAAAUAUAAAGCCUUACUUGAAAGGAUAAAGUUUUAAAUCAGCAGCUUCAGGCUAAAAAAUUGAGAUGUUCUGAUGAGUUGAAUAGAUUUAAUACCUAAUAAUGCAUCAUUAAAUAAAAACUAAUCAGUAGUUGUUUAAUACAAGUUUUAGUCACAAGUUUUGGUCAAUAAGUUCACAACUUCUAGGAAGAAGUUAUUCAUAUGCUAAAGGUCAUUUUUUUUCAAAAUAUUGUCAUUCCUAUCAGCUAUGUACACUUUUAUCUAGGCAUAAUUUUUUUCAGUUAAGUGGGAUCUAUGUAAUAACGGCAUGAUGUUUCUAUUUCUUGUGGUUUUCUUGUAUAUAAUGGAAAAAGUUGCUCAUUUUCAGCUGCUUGAUGCUCAAUAAUGUAACUUUUUUUUCCAAUUUCUGAUUUCUUCCUUUUUGUGAACAAACGAAUCUCAAGAUAAAAUAUUGCGGUAUGAAUUAAUUAUAGCUCUAUCUAUUCAAAAACAAAAAUAAAAAAAUGAAA